RNAcentral lists this ribosomal RNA (537 nucleotides) under uncultured kinetoplastid. RNAcentral describes it as "bacterial SSU rRNA". It matches the Rfam family "Eukaryotic small subunit ribosomal RNA", at positions 615 to 1026 of the family's 1831-position model. Lineage: Eukaryota; Euglenozoa; Kinetoplastea. The record is from RNAcentral.
GCUGUUAAGGGUUCGUAGUUGAACUGUGGGUCGAGACUCCGAGGCCCCGUCCUUUACCCCGUGUAUUGGAACGCUUCGAUCUCGACUCGAGAACGUCAGAAACUAAUACCACGGAAGCGCUUCCCGGCAUUUCGCGAGCAAUGCACGCAGUCGGGCGUCCGUGUUCAUUACUGUGACUAAGAAGUGCGACCAAAGCAGUCCAUCGACAUGAAUUAGAAAGCAUGGGAUAACAAAGGGCAUCCUACAGGCUACCUCUAGGCUUUUGUUGGUUUUAAAGGUCAGUGGGAGAUUACGGGUGGGUGGACCGGCGUGCGGAGGACUUUCCUCCCGCGCUUCCUCCUCAGGUUGGCAACAUCUGGGGAGGCCUGCUUUACUCAGGAAUGAAGGAGGGUUGCUCGGGGGAGAACGUACUUGGCGUGAGAGGUGAAAUUCUUAGACCGCUCAAAGACGAACUACAGCGAAGGCAUUCUCCAGGAUACCUUCCUCAAUCAAGAACCAAAGUGUGGGGAUCGAAGAUGAUUAGAUACCAUUGUGUCC